AAAAAAGGUAAGCUACUAAGAGCGAAUGGUGGAUGCCUUGACUGGUAAAGGCGAUGAAGGACGUACUAGACUGCGAUAAGCUACGGGGAGCUGUCAAGAAGCUUUGAUCCGUAGAUUUCCGAAUGGGGCAACCCAAUGUAUAGAGAUAUACAUUACCUAUAUAGGAGCGAACGAGGGGAAUUGAAACAUCUUAGUACCCUCAGGAAAAGAAAUCAAUAGAGAUUGCGUCAGUAGCGGCGAGCGAAAGCGCAAGAGGGCAAACCCAGUGCUUGCACUGGGGGUUGUAGGACUGCAAUGUGCAAGAGGUAAGUUUAGCAGAACAUUCUGGAAAGUAUAACCAUAGAGGGUGAUAGUCCCGUAUGCGAAAAACAAACCUUAGCUAGCAGUAUCCUGAGUAGGGCGGGACACGAGGAAUCCUGUCUGAAUCCGGGUCGACCACGAUCCAACCCUAAAUACUAAUACCAGAUCGAUAGUGCACAAGUACCGUGAGGGAAAGGUGAAAAGAACUGAGGUGAUCAGAGUGAAAUAGAACCUGAAACCAUUUGCUUACAAUCAUUCAGAGCCCUAUGUAGCAAUACAGGGUGAUGGACUGCCUUUUGCAUAAUGAGCCUGCGAGUUGUGGUGUCUGGCAAGGUUAAGCAAACGCGAAGCCGUAGCGAAAGCGAGUCUGAAUAGGGCGCUUAGUCAGAUGCUGCAGACCCGAAACGAAGUGAUCUAUCCAUGAGCAAGUUGAAGCUAGUGUAAGAACUAGUGGAGGACUGAACCCAUAGGCGUUGAAAAGCCCCGGGAUGACUUGUGGAUAGGGGUGAAAGGCCAAUCAAACUUCGUGAUAGCUGGUUCUCUCCGAAAUAUAUUUAGGUAUAGCGUUGUGUCGUAAUAUAAGGGGGUAGAGCACUGAAUGGGCUAGGGCAUACACCAAUGUACCAAACCCUAUCAAACUCCGAAUACCUUAUAUGUAAUCACAGCAGUCAGGCGGCGAGUGAUAAAAUCCGUCGUCAAGAGGGAAACAACCCAGACUACCAGCUAAGGUCCCUAAAUCUUACUUAAGUGGAAAACGAUGUGAAGUUACUUAAACAACCAGGAGGUUGGCUUAGAAGCAGCCAUCCUUUAAAGAAAGCGUAAUAGCUCACUGGUCUAGUGAUUUUGCGCGGAAAAUAUAACGGGGCUAAAGUAAGUACCGAAGCUGUAGAUUUGCACACAACUUAGAUUAUUUAAAUUUAAAAUAUGAGAAGCUAAAUUUAUUUUUAUUUAUUUUUGCUUAUCUUUAUUCAUUUUUAUAGAGUAAAGAUAAAAACAAAAACUUCGUAAAAACAAUAAAAUAUAGUAAAAAACAAUAAAAAUAUUCUUAGACUAAAGUUAAGUAGUUUAAGUUGUGUGCAAGUGGUAGGAGAGCGUUCUAUUUGCGUCGAAGGUAUACCGGUAAGGAGUGCUGGAGCGAAUAGAAGUGAGCAUGCAGGCAUGAGUAGCGAUAAUUAAUGUGAGAAUCAUUAACGCCGUAAACCCAAGGUUUCCUACGCGAUGCUCGUCAUCGUAGGGUUAGUCGGGUCCUAAGUCGAGUCCGAAAGGGGUAGACGAUGGCAAAUUGGUUAAUAUUCCAAUACCAACAUUAGUGUGCGAUGGAAGGACGCUUAGGGCUAAGGGGGCUAGCGGAUGGAAGUGCUAGUCUAAGGUCGUAGGAGGUUGUACAGGCAAAUCCGUAUAACAAUACUCCGAGAACUGAAAGGCUUUUUGAAGUCUUCGGAUGGAUAGAAGAACCCCUGAUGCCGUCGAGCCAAGAAAAGUUUCUAAGUUUAGCUAAUGUUGCCCGUACCGUAAACCGACACAGGUGGGUGGGAUGAGUAUUCUAAGGCGCGUGGAAGAACUCUCUUUAAGGAACUCUGCAAAAUAGCACCGUAUCUUCGGUAUAAGGUGUGGUUAGCUUUGU
This 1924-nucleotide ribosomal RNA is filed under the name Campylobacter jejuni. RNAcentral's name for it is "partial 23S ribosomal RNA". It matches the Rfam family "Bacterial large subunit ribosomal RNA", at positions 1 to 1761 of the family's 2925-position model. The record is from RNAcentral. Lineage: Bacteria; Pseudomonadati; Campylobacterota; Epsilonproteobacteria; Campylobacterales; Campylobacteraceae.